Molecule: long non-coding RNA, 1575 nt
Organism: Passer domesticus (house sparrow)
Lineage: Eukaryota; Metazoa; Chordata; Aves; Passeriformes; Passeridae
Exons: 3
Source: RefSeq, a predicted model, not a curated record
GAUGUGGGGGAUGCUGGGUUUGAGGGAGUUGAGGGUUCCUGGGAGGGACUUGGGGCUUGCAGAGGCCUUUGGGGAUCCCAGGCCGAGCAGCUCUGGCUGUGCUGGGAGACCCUGGGGGAGGUUCUGGGGCAGCUGCUCAAGGACCCCCUGACCUGGAGCCCCAGCCAGGCAUUGGGCUUCUGGAAGGGGAUGAACGUCCUUGUCCCCAGGAGGGAAAUCCCAGCACCCCCAGGGUGCUGGGGACAGCUGAGGGGUCACAGCAGAGAGGGGAAAGCCAGAGAGAGCUGUCACACUCUUAAAGUACACCCCAAUAGUCCCAAAACUCAGGGAUUGCUCGCAGGAAAAAGCUGCCAGGAGCUGCCUGAAUUGAGGGAAAGGCGGGAUGUGACCCCCCAGACUGAGCAGGAGAGACCUGGAUCCCCCACAACCAAGCACAGGGACGAGAGGUGUAGCUAGAAGCAUGAUGGGAAAGGGGUGGGAGAGCAGGGAAAAAGAGGAUUCAGAGCGGGAGAGGGAUGGGACCCCCAAAUUGAGUUGGGAGGAGUCUUUGGGUUGGGGGAACCAUGGGAGAUGGGAGGGAAAGGUGGAGAUGGGAUGAAAAAAAGGGCUGUUCCAUGGCUAUCCCUUAGUGUCCCUAUGGCUUGAUCCCUGGAGUGAUUCCCUGGGGAUCUGGGGGGGAAUGGAUCUGCACUGGGUGGGUCCCCAAGCUCCCUGCCCAUCCCUGGGGAGAUCAUGGGAGGUUCCCUUGGUCCCUUCCCCCAAAAGCUGGUGGUGCUGCAGCUGUGUGGGAGAGGUGAGUGUGAAAGGAGGAUCUGGGGUGGGCAGGGAGGAGGAGCAAUAGGAAGAGGAGGGAGAGAGGAGGCGGAGGAUGGGAAAAGGAGGAGCAGGAGCAGGAAGAGGAAGAGGAGGAGCCGCAGCAGAACCACACUGUUUUCCCGCCCGCCUGCUGAGUCUGCAGCUCCCCUGGCCCUGGCAGCAUCGACCCCCCAGAUCCCACAGGAUUUGUCAAUCCCAGCCUUUGUCUGGAUGGAGCUGGAGGAGGCUGCAAGGAAAAGGAAGAUGGUCUGGGACACUUGAGGCCGGCACCGAGCUGCCGACGGAGAUCAGGAAGAACAAAUGCCUGCUGCAGAAUCUCAUGGAAGAGGCCAUUUUGAGCAGCUCCACGGCAUGGGAAUCCAAUGGGGAGGAAAACCCCUGGAGAUCCCACACAAGGAGCAAACCCAGCUCCGGGAGCUGCGAGGACGUAAGAUCCCCCUGUGCUGGGAAGGCCACUGGAGAUGUAUUUGGAACUCAGAGGUGUGGCAAGGACUCAUGGUGGGCAGAAGCCCCACAAGUACUUGGAAUGGGGGAAGGGCUUCAGCUGGAGCUCCAGAGCUCAGACUUGAUCCAGAUGAUCCACAUGGGGAAAUGGCCCUACAAGUGUAGGGGUGUGGGAAGGGCUUUGGGCAGAGCUCCAACCUCAUCAAUCACUGCAAGAUCCACACUGGGGAGAGGCCCGAUGACUGUCCUGAGUGUAGGAAGUGGUUUCUGAGCAGCUCCAAUCUCAUUGUACAUCAGUAGAUUCACACAGAGGAG